This is a non-coding RNA of Hordeum vulgare subsp. vulgare (domesticated barley), 170 nucleotides long. Lineage: Eukaryota; Viridiplantae; Streptophyta; Magnoliopsida; Poales; Poaceae. The record is from Rfam.
GCUAGGAAGAGGUAGAUGGAGAGAGCAUAAUAUUAGUGGGAAUGAGAACACCGAAGAAAUCCUGACUUAUGGGUUAUCCUCCUCUUGUGUUGAGGUGGAAAUCCAGAUUGGUGUUUCGAGUGCCUCUCAUUCCUAUCGUUCUUAUGUGCUCCUUCCUCUUCAUUUUUGGU